Molecule: ribosomal RNA, 998 nt
Filed under: human gut metagenome
Description: bacterial LSU rRNA
Rfam family: Bacterial large subunit ribosomal RNA
Source: RNAcentral
CGGCGGUGGUAACUAUAACCAUCCUAAGGUAGCGAAAUUCCUUGUCGGGUAAGUUCCGACCUGCACGAAUGGCGUAACGACUUCUUCGCUGUCUCGACCAUGAACUCGGUGAAAUUGCAUUACGAGUAAAGAUGCUCGUUUCGCGCAGCAGGACGGAAAGACCCCGGGACCUUUACUAUAGCUUGGUAUUGGUAGCCGGUUGUGUUUGUGUAGGAUAGGUGGGAGACUGUGAAGCCGCUACGCUAGUGGUGGUGGAGUCGUUGUUGAAAUACCACUCUGAUAUAAACGGUUAUCUAACCUUGGUCCGUGAUCCGGAUUGGGGACAGUGCCUGGUGGGUAGUUUAACUGGGGCGGUUGCCUCCUAAAUGGUAACGGAGGCGCUCAAAGGUCUUCUCAGCCUGGUUGGUAAUCAGGUGUUGAGUGUAAGUGUAGAAGAAGGCUUGACUGUGACACUGACGGGUGGAGCAGGUGCGAAAGCAGGAACUAGUGAUCCGGCCGUGGUUCGUGGAAACGCGGUCGCUCAACGGAUAAAAGGUACCCCGGGGAUAACAGGCUGAUCUUGCCCAAGAGUCCAUAUCGACGGCAUGGUUUGGCACCUCGAUGUCGGCUCGUCGCAUCCUGGGGCUGGAGUCGGUCCCAAGGGUUGGGCUGUUCGCCCAUUAAAGCGGUACGCGAGCUGGGUUUAGAACGUCGUGAGACAGUUCGGUCCCUAUCCGCUGCGCGCGUAGGAAACUUGAGAAGGCCUGUCCCUAGUACGAGAGGACCGGGACGGACAAGCCUCUGGUGUGCCAGUUGUACCGCCAGGUGCAUGGCUGGUUAGCUACGCUUGGGAAGGAUAACCGCUGAAAGCAUCUAAGCGGGAAGCCUGCUUCAAGACAAGGUUUCCAACCCCCUCUUGGGGGGAGAGACUCCCAAUAGAUGAUUGGGUUGAUAGGCCAGGCGUGUAAGCAUGGUAACGUGUUUAGCUUACUGGUACUAAUAGUCAACAACUAAAAACA